AUUGAACGCUGGCGGCAUGCCUUACACAUGCAAGUCGAACGGUAACAGGUCUUCGGAUGCUGACGAGUGGCGAACGGGUGAGUAAUACAUCGGAACGUGCCCGAUCGUGGGGGGUAACGAAGCGAAAGCUUUGCUAAUACCGCAUAAGAUCUACGGAUGAAAGCAGGGGACCGCAAGGCCUUGCGCGAACGGAGCGGCCGAUGGCAGAUUAGGUAGUUGGUGGGAUAAAAGCUUACCAAGCCGACGAUCUGUAGCUGGUCUGAGAGGACGACCAGCCACACUGGGACUGAGACACGGCCCAGACUCCUACGGGAGGCAGCAGUGGGGAAUUUUGGACAAUGGGCGAAAGCCUGAUCCAGCCAUGCCGCGUGCAGGAUGAAGGCCUUCGGGUUGUAAACUGCUUUUGUACGGAACGAAAAGACUCUGGUUAAUACCUGGGGUCCAUGACGGUACCGUAAGAAUAAGCACCGGCUAACUACGUG
This 482-nucleotide ribosomal RNA is filed under the name uncultured bacterium. RNAcentral's name for it is "partial 16S ribosomal RNA". It matches the Rfam family "Bacterial small subunit ribosomal RNA", at positions 30 to 507 of the family's 1533-position model. The record is from RNAcentral.